RNAcentral lists this ribosomal RNA (460 nucleotides) under uncultured Latescibacterota bacterium. RNAcentral describes it as "bacterial SSU rRNA". It matches the Rfam family "Bacterial small subunit ribosomal RNA", at positions 920 to 1382 of the family's 1533-position model. The record is from RNAcentral. Lineage: Bacteria; Pseudomonadati; Candidatus Latescibacterota.
CCCGCACAAGCGGUGGAGCAUGUGGUUAAUUCGAAGCAACGCGAAGAACCUUACCAGGCCUUGACAUGCAGAGAACUUUCCAGAGAUGGAUUGGUGCUUCGGAACUCUGACACAGGUGCUGCAUGGCUGUCGUCAGCUCGUGUCGUGAGAUGUUGGGUUAAGUCCCGCAACGAGCGCAACCCUUAUCCCCAGUUGCCAUCAGGUAAAGCUGGGAACUCUGGGGAGACUGCCGGUGAUAAACCGGAGGAAGGCGGGGAUGACGUCAAGUCCUCAUGGCCCUUACAUCCCGGGCUACACACGUGCUACAAUGGCAGGUACAGAGGGCUGCGAAGCCGCGAGGUGGAGCGAAUCCCAGAAAACCUGUCUCAGUCCGGAUUGAAGUCUGCAACUCGACUUCAUGAAGGCGGAAUCGCUAGUAACCGCGAAUCAGCAGGUCGCGGUGAAUACGUUCCCGGGCCUU